This 14281-nucleotide long non-coding RNA is filed under the name Prunus persica (peach). RNAcentral describes it as "long non-coding RNA (PPER_LNC001646)". Lineage: Eukaryota; Viridiplantae; Streptophyta; Magnoliopsida; Rosales; Rosaceae. The record is from RNAcentral.
GCUGAUCAAGCCAUGACAAACAAUCUUCUGCAUCUGCAGAAUCCCCAAAUUCUUUUUCUUCAGAAAUCAAUAGCCCGAUGUAGUAGACAUGAGGAGUGGGAGCAUUAGGAACACAAAGACCUCCAACAAUGGCUUUGAGGACUGCAGGAGGCUCGAGCUCUUCAAACGUGUUGGCUAUGAUCCCAUUAGAUUUGGGAAGGUGGGUGCAGAAGUAGACCAUGUCCCAAUAAGCAGGGUCAUCUCGGUCAAGCAUUGGCUCAGGCAUGUGAGGGGCAUUCAGGGGGGACUUCAACCCGGGAAACUCUAAAACAGUCUCGGUCAAAUCCUUGAAGCUAUUGGUGGUUUGUUCCCCGAUUUUCGGAAAGUACAGAAAAACCGCAAAAGCUGCAGCUCCAGAGGUGUAAAAGUCGUAGGUGGGAAUGCCGAGUUCCUUCACCAUUGGCAGCGCAGAGGAGCAGAAGAUGUCGAUGAUAAAAGCACGAAUGGCUGAAGAUUUAGAGAUCUCUUGGAGGGCAAGGCAGACAUAAGGAUCAUUCCGGCGAAUGAAAUCAGACGCUAUGACCACGACACUGAUGGGAAUUAAUGUAAUUUUAUUUUCAACGCGAGGAAAUUGGUGGAAGGAGAUGGAAGGAUAGGCUCGGGAGAUGCGCUGGAUGUAGGCGGGGAUGCUUGAAAUUGAUUGUCACGUUGUAAGAGACAAACUGCAAGCUGGUGUAAUUUCUCCUUCCUAGAAGAUGAGCUGGCAGAUAUAUUUACGCAGGCUUUGGAAGGAGAUGCCUUCAAUUACUUAAGUGGCGAGUUGGAACUUCACAACAUUCAAUCUCCAAUUGGAGGGAGAGUGUUGGAAAUCAAAUCUUAUAAUUGAAGAAUUAUAAAUAUUGUAAUUGUCUUUCUUGUAUUAGACCUCCAAAAUUUAUGGGUCAAACCUGGAUUGUAACCUUAAUUAGGAAUUAUGCUAGAAUAGGAGAUUGUAAACCUAGUAUAUAAAGGAUAGUUUUAUGUACAACAAGAUAUCAAUAACACAACAUAUUAUUCCAUCUCCUUUAUUCUUUACAAACCUUUAACUCCUUAUAUGAAUAAGUCAUUUCUUCUUAAAGUUAUGUCAAAAUUUCACAUUUUAUUGAAUUAUUUUUUUAUAUUAAGGGAUUCGAACUCGAGUGCAAAGUGAAAAGCACAUUCGCUCAAAUCAACUUAACUAAGCUCAUAUCUGCGUGAAUUUAGUUAUUCUAAAUAGUGAAAAAACAUAAAAUGGGACGAUACAUCAUAUUGCGUACACACAACUCUCACAAUACCACUCAUGAAAAAUAUUGAUAAUUGAUUGUGUAAUUCAAUAAAGGGACAACAAAACUACCUUAACUUUCAAAAGAUCAGAAAAUUGUGGGGCAUUGAACUGAGUUCUUUUGGGAUAGUUGGGCCUAAUAUAAUUGUUUAGGUAGUCAUUGUUGCCCAUUCCAACAAAGAAGAUGCAGUUAAUCGCCUGGGCCACGUCAUCUGCCCCGAGAUUGUCUGUAAUCUGAUCAAGGGUACUCUGGAAGUUGCUUAUUUGUUCACCAAAAGGUAUUCUUCCCACCUGACACCAAAACAAUUGUUACCAAACAGUGGAAUAUUGAAACACAUGCUUGUGGUUGCAGGCUGUAUAGUUUAGAUAUCUUGGAACAUGGCAAAAGAUUGAACUUGUGUUAUGUAAGGCACUUAGGCUCCUGCUCUAAUCCAUUUAAAUUCAAAUUCCUCAACUAAAAAUAUCAGGAAAAAUAAAAUAAAAUAAAUUUUGUGGAUGAAGUGGUUAAUUAAUUACAAAGUUUGUGCCAGUGAUAUCAAGGAUUCCAGCUGCAGCAGAUGCAUAAUUGACUCCAUGAAGCACUUGGUCUCCAGAAGCUUCAGAAAAAGGAGGAAUCAAGGGAAGUCCUAGCAGUUCAGCUUCAUAUUUAUGUUAAAAUAAUGUACAUCAAAAUAUCUUGGAACACCCAAGAGAAACAAAUUUCUUUUUAAAAAAAAAAUUAUAUAUUUUAAAAAUACAAAAACACCAAUGUUGAAAUAUUGCCUUGAUUUAUAUCCAAAUUGGGAAUGAAAAGGCCCACCUUUAUAUGUAAAAAUGGUGGGCCAUAGCAGAGAGACAAAUUCCAUCUUUCUCAUACAGACUACAGCACAUACCAACAUUACCAAAGGGUAAUCAAUAAUAUAUCUACAAAUUAAGGAUGGCUUUCAAAUCACUUAAUUUAUGUUUAAUUAAAGACCCGAUUUUAAAAAAUAAAUAAUAAAUAUUGUUUUACCAACCCAAGAUGUUUCUUGCUCCCACACAUAAAAAGAUUAAAGGGUUAACUGGUGAUUUGCCCACUGAAUUUGUAUUUAACUUUCAAUUAACUCCCUAUUCUUUUUUUAAGAAAAUUAAGGAUAUGAACCUUCUUUUUUCCUCCAAUUUCUCCCAUACCAUCUAAUCCUCAACAUUUCAUCCAAUUUUCAAUUAAAUCAUUUUUAGAAAAAUAGUUUUUUGGAAAAAAAUUGAAGAAAAAGAGGAAAAUUGACCAAAAAAGAAGAAGAAUAAAAAGACACUAAACUGCUUUUGAAUCUUGAUCUGCAAUUCUUAACAUUGUUCUUCCCGCAUUUUCUGACAUUUCUUUCUUUCUAAAUAAAAAAAUCCAUAUUUUUGUUGUUGAUAAUUUCAGCCCAGUAAGCAGAUAGAGGAUGCCAAGCUUUGCAAGCGAUUUCCAAACAACAUUGCAAGAAUUCCAGAAAGUUCAGCAGCUCGCCUCUGAGCGCGUGUCUCUCUGAUGGGGAUCGGGAUCCAGACAUAGGUCACCAACCACAUAUACGAGCACCGAAAUCUAGGGCUAGUACAAACUCACAUAUAUCGUAGUAAAUCCAUGCCACAAAUAAACUAUUUUAUUAAUAAUCAACAUCCACCCCCUACAACUAUUAUAUUAGCUUUAUUUAUAGGCUUUACAAGACUUGGGCACCAAGGCUACUUGGUCCAAAAGUAAACUAAUUAAUUUAUAAAAUCACACAUAAAUAAUAAAAGAUAUCCUAAAACUACCUAAAUAAGAAAAUAACAGUAUAUCAUGAAAUAACUAAUUAAAUGCUAAUAUCUAUCUUGAUCCACUCCUAUGCUCCUGCAUCUGACUCCCAUGGUUGGAAAGAAUUCGUCCUCGAAUUCAAGCCUUUGAUUGAGGAAAAUCCAAAUAGAAUCUUCAAUUGCUUCAUAUUAAUUUUGGAUCUUUUAGCAUCCAAUUGAAACCUUCCUUUCCAAAUAAAAAGAUAUUUGGAAUAUUUCAUUCUUCUUGGCUUCUUCUUACUCCCUCUAACAAUGCAAAUGUUUCUCUCUAGAAUCUUCAACUGAUUGAAAAAAUCAACCAGAGUUUUGGCAACCUUCCAAGUGAAAAUAUGAAUGCCCAUAAAAUAAAUAAUAUAUUCGAAAGUUUUCUCAAUUCUCAUCUCUUCACUGUUCUUGUCAAUAAAUUGCUUAUCAAAAUUGCUUUGAACACCCAAACAAUUUUCACUGCAAUUUUCACAGUUGCAAGGAUCAAAUAUUGGAGGUAAAUCCAAAUUUAAUAACUUUGAUGAAUAACAAGAUGCACCAAAAUUACCAAAUUCAUUUAUAUCUUCAAAGACACAAUAAGAAUAACCGUGCCCCUCUUCACUUGACUCACACACACAUCCCUCCCCGUCAAAACUCUUACCUAUCUGGGUUCAAGCUUCAAUGCGAGCAAUGCGUUCUGUAAGUUGCCGUAGCAUCCUCCUAAGUUCCUCCAUGUCAUUGUAGUUGUUAACACGACCCUCCAUCCAAAAACCUCCCCAAUAAAGCAGAUCUUGAGCCAUAGCUCUGAUACCAAUUGAUGGGGAUCGGGAUCCAGACAUAGGUCACCAACCACAUACACGAGCACCGAAAUCUAGGGCUAGUGCAAACUCACAUAUAUCGUAGCAAAUCCAUGCCACAAAUAGAUUAUUUUAUUAAUCAUCAACAUCCACCCCCUACGACUAUUACAUUAGCCUUAUUUAUAAGCUUUACAAGACUUGGGCACCAAGGCUACUUGGUCCAAAAGUAAACUAAUUAAUUUAUAAAAUCACACAUAAAUAAUAAAAGAUAUCCUAAAACUACCUAAAUAAAAAAAUAACAAUAUAUCAUGAAAUAACUAAUUAAAUGCUAAUAUCUAUCUUGAUCUACUCCUAUGCUCCUGCAUCUCUCUCUCACACACACACAAAACACUCUGAGAAUCUGAAAUUGUGAAGAGUAUGUUGGCAACGUUCAGGACAAUUCCCUAGAUCGAAUGAGACUGCUCACAUGUCUCCCUUUUCAAUUCAUCAAUAUUUGGUGAAAACUUAAACUUGGAGCAGCUCACCAAAUAAUUUGUUGAACACCAUUCGACCAUACUUCCUAGAGUAAGGAUCGGCUGUAUAUAUGUAUAUAAUAGGGCUUGUAAUCCUUUGCCAACACACCACCGGCACUGCUAGGAUUCCCAACUCCACUACUAGGAUUCAACCCCCUUCCCCAGCUCUAUCUCCUCCAUGAACCCCAUCAACCCUAAAUCCCCCCCGCUUCCUCCCAUCCCCACGCGAGAUCCACCCCCAGCCCUUGCCCCCAAGACCCAGACCCAUCCCAUUCCCCAGCCCCACGUGAGCAUGCACAGAGAGAGAGAGAGAGAUAAUUGCAAUUUUCUGUUUUUUAUUUUAUUUUUAAUUUUUAAUGUACAAAAUGACUAUUUUGCUCUCAUUUUUAACGGCAAAUUAGAUGAAAUGUUGUGGAUUUAAACGGAGAGGGGAAAUUAGUGGGAAAAAAAAAAGUUUAAGUCCUUAAUUUUCUAUUAAAAAAAAAGUAUAGGGGUCAAUUGAAACUAAAGUACAAAUUCAAGGGGCAAAACAUCAGUAUACUCAAAGAUUAAAAUAUAUAUAUAUAUAUAUAUAUAUAUAAACUUUUGUGACUUAAAUUCAAUCAUAAUAUACUGAAAUACUGAUCUCACAGCAAAACAUAUUACACUGAAAGCAUCAACAAAUAUUAACAUGUAUGCUAAUUACACUACAAAAUCAAAGAAGAGGACCUAGUGGAGAGACCUAUUUGUAACCAUUGGAAAAACGACCGGUAGGGCCACCAUUGAAAUCAAUGCCAUAGGGAAAAUAGUUAGCCUUUUGCAAAUGAUGGGAUGUUGUUGUUGCCAUUGUCAAUCAAAGAGUCCCCAAACACAAACAUGGCAGGCACCAUUUCUGCCCUCCUCCCACCACCACCCACUUGACCUUGUGCUGCUGCUGCUGCUGCAGCCGCUGAUGAAAAGUUCACAUCUUGGCCCCAAAACACCCCACCCAGCACCAUCAACCACAAAACCACCAAAGAAAAAACCCUAAUUGGGGCCUUCCUCAUGAAUGAAUUAAUAUGUUUUGCUUGUUUUGAGAUGAUGAAAAUUUGGGAGAAAGUGGGAGAGCCACCUGUGUUGAAAAUGAAUGAGCUUUUUGAGUAUUGGCAAGAGCAUGCAAGGGAUGAUUUAAUAGGCGAGGCAAGGCGGUGGUUGUGAAUGGAAUAAAUGUUUUCGCCUGUUAUCUUACGUGCAGGAAUUGAAGUAAAAGCCCAUUUUUGUUCAAGGAUAAAUAAGAGUUUACUUUCCCAGCAUUGUGCUGCAUGCAGGUUCAAAUUCCCUUGUAUUUUUUCUUUUUUUUCUUUUUUUAAUUUUGGUCUUUGGUUAUUAACGGGGCCCUAGGCCCAAGCAAAACCAAUAGGCACAUGAGACCAAAGUUCAAGGUAGUUUGCUUUUAUCACCUUGCUAACUUGGGGUAUGAGUUACUCUUGGGGCUUCAUAACUAUGAGUCUGCUCCUAUAUCCCUCUCAACCUUGUUGUUGGAAGAGCCCAUAGUAGGGCUGUGCCUUGUUAGCUUUCUUUUUUCUUUUCUGGCUUCGGCCUGCCUUGUAACUGAAAAAAAAAAAAAAAAGGUAGUUUGCUUUUAUCACAUGUUAAUAGUUAUUACAAUGCUUCUUUCAAAUAAAAAAAAUUGUUAGUAAUUAUGAUGCUGCGAAAGGCCCCAAGUGAAACCCCCUCCCCUAAUUUUGACUAUCACUUAUAAUUUAAAAAAUAUAAAAAAAUAAUUAUUUCGUUGCUAUCUCUAGUCUUUUGGUAAGAGCAUUCACAAUGCACUUCCUAACCCACUUCAGACAAAAAAUCAAAUUAGUUUGCUUUUUUCUUUUUUGGCCAAAGGGGAGGGAAACACAUAGUUACAAUAAGUUUUUGAACUCAUAACUACUUAAGAACACACUAAAAAUUUAGUUCAAUCCAACUAACGACGCAUUAGUCAAAAUAAUUUGCUUUUACCACAUGUUAAUUAUUAUGAUGCUCUCUCUUGUCUUUUAUAUUUUGGUAAACGUGCUACAAAAAAAGUCAGCAAUAAACACCUAUUUUUGUUGUGACUAUUAACAGUAACAGUCACCAUUAUUGGUGAGUAAGCCCUAAAGUAACGUGACAGUUACGAAUUUUGACUUGGUGAUAUAUGAAUAGCGUGAUUCUUGACAAAAUUUAUUUGAUUGUCAAUUGCCUCUGAAGUGCAUGGGGUCAUAACACGUCAAAUCAACUUUAGCUUUAUAUUUUAAUAUAUCUAAGCCUUAAAUCCUUAUUUUAACAGCUUCGAGACAGACCUUAAGCCUUAUUGCGAGAAUGGGCGGUUAUUAUUAUGAGUUGUAAUAUUUUAUUGUGUACUGGAACUUACAAGUACAUUGGAAGUUUGAAAGAGUGUAAUAUUUUAUUGCGUAGAAGCUUGAAAGAGUGUAAUAUUUUAUUGUGUACUGGAACUUACAAGUACAUUGGAAGCUUGAAAGAGUGUAAUAUUUUAUUGAUUUGAGUUCUAGUUAGCUUUGUUUUUAUUAUAUUUAAUUCAACAGUCACCAAAGGAUACGUAGUGACGACGUAAGUUCAAGGCAGGGAGAAUUAUGUAAAGACACCUAGACCUAGCUGCCAACAAGCCCUUUUAUUAAUGUUCUUGUUUUGGAUUUCAACCUUUCAAUACAAUCUAAUACAUUUCUAUCAACAGUGAGCUUUAGGACAUGUAAUUUCAAUCAACAGUGAGCUUUGAUUUUCUAAUUUCCUUCUAGUGUUGUUGUUAAGAUUUGAUUUGAUUUGAUAUCAAGAAUCUUUCUUACAAUCUUUUUCUUUAAUAAAAUAGAAUGAUAAUCAUUGUAUAUUACACUCAGUUUUACCAGAUGAAAGCAUAUUGUUUACAAACUGAGAAUACAUAAAUUUGAUGUGUUACAUUAUUCACACUCAAACAAAUUACGUAUACGUAAAAUCAAAACGGAUGGAGCCAAAUGGUGAAGUAGAUAGGAAGCACCCAAAUUUAAUUGCUAGAAAUAUAUGGAAGGUUCAAUAAUUUCUAAUGGAUGCUAUUUUUUUUUUUGUUGAAAAUAAGUGACAACAUAUUAUUGAUGAACAAACAAAAGUACAAAGCAACGAUGUGACGAAUAUUGGCAAAUCUUCUUCAGUGACCAAAUAGCUAAACAAAGGACAAAGACAUUUACUUAAAUGUUGAAAAUGAAAAUAAGAUAAUCUGAACACUUAAAGUGCACCACCACCAACUGAGCAAAUGGACAAUUUGAAGCACCUAUAAUGGUGUUUCCAACAAAGAGAGGGGCAGCUGCACCUCCUUACGCCUUAAUAGGUCCGCCACUUAUCCCAGAAUAUGAAACACAAUAAGAUGGACAAGAAGAUGCACGCUUGGUAUUUUCCUUCAUUUUUUUAUUCACCAAGUGCAAAGUGCAAAUUCAUAACUUAUGCAAUGCUAUUAACAAAGUUAACCAAGUUUCUAGUGGAUGAACCAGACUCACUCCAAGCAGCCAAAGCCAUCUCUCCCAUUUUCCUGCUCCUUUCUCUAAGUUCUUUCCCUUUUUCCGACUCCAUCAACUCCCUAACGCUUUUCUCCAAUUCAUCCCCAAACACAAACCCAUCUUCCUCUCUCUGCUUCACAGCAAUUGCCAUUUCCAUGUCCUUCACCAAAACACUCCUAUUCACAUGUUGCUCUGCAUAGAGCGGCCAUGCCACCAUCGGCACGCCAGCAAUCACCGCUUCAAGCACCGAGUUCCACCCACAAUGCGUCACGAACCCGCCCACCGAUUCUUUCUUCAACACUGCCACCUGCGGCGCCCAUGACUUCACCACUAAGCCCUUAUCUUUGGUCCUCUCCAGGAACCCUUCUGGCAACAAACCCUCCAAAUCAAAGUCAUGUACUCCAAGAACCUGCUUGGUUUUCUCAUCAAGGGGAGGCUUCUUCACCACCCACAAAAACCUAUGUCCACUCUUCUCCAACCCAUACGCUAUCUCCUUCAAUUGAGCCCCUGAGAAUGAUCCUCUGCUUCCAAAACAAAGAAACACCACACUUCUACUGGGCUGCUGAUCAAGCCAUGACAAACAUUCUUCUGCCUCUUCAGAAUCCUUAGAUUCUUCUUCUUCAGCAAUCAACGGCCCGAUGUAGUAGACAGGGGGAGUGGGAGCAUCAGGAACACAAAGACCUUCAGCAAUGGCUUUGAGGAUUGCAGGAGGCUCGAGCUCUUCAAACGUGUUGGCUAUGAUCCCAUUAGAUUUGGGAAGGUGGGAGCAGAAGUAGACCAUGUCCCAAUACGAAGGGUCGUCUCGGUCAAGCAUUGCCUCAGGCAUGUAUGUGGCAUUCAGGGGAGACUUCAAACCGGGAAACGUCAAAACAGUCUCAGUCAGAUCCUUGAAGCUCUUGGUGGUUUGUUCCCCGAUUUUCGGGAAAUACAGAAAAACUGAAAGAGCUGCAGCUCCAGAGGUGUAAAAGUAGUAGGUGGGUAUGCCGAGUUCAUUUGCCAUUGGCAAAGCAGAGGAGCAGAAGAUGUCGAUGAUAAAAGCGUGAAUGGCUACAGAUUUAGAAAUUUCUUGGAGGGCAAGGCAGACAUGAGGAUCAUUCCGGCGAAUGAAAUCGAACAUUAUGGCAGCGCCGCUGCAGCCAACUAAUGUAUUUUCAUUUUGAACCCGAGGGAAUUGGCGGAAGGAGAUGGAAGGAUAGGCUAGGGAGAUGCGCUGGAUGUAGGCGGGGAUGCUUGGAGUGUCAACAAAACAGCCACAAGUGUAGAGAAUGGUAAUAGAGAAUUUUCCAGGGUAACGAUUGAGAAUGAGCUUGCCUAGCUCAACCAUGGAGAUUAUGUGCCCCAUUCCUGGAGCUGCGUAGAGGACUAUUGUAUGUUCUCCCAUGGCUUUGGUUGGUUUGUGUUUCACUUCUCUGGUUUUUUGUUUUCGCUUCUCAUUGCUCAAAGCUUUUAAGGGGGAAGAGCUUUUGAAAUACUCUUCACUCAAAGUAGAUGGAAAUCCAAGUCUGAAAGUUAGGUUAAGCACGAGGCAAGGCACAGGUUGUACACCAAAUCGACCAUAGCAAAUGUUAAGUUGACAUUGAUUGGCUGAUUCUGACCACUAUCAUUUUCGAAAGAAAAAGGGAAAUGGUGUUUGAAUGGAAUAACCAGGUUCUCACAAGCAUGUGCAUGUAUUACAUUUUCCACACUCAAACAAGGUUGUCAAAUCGAUAAUCGAAAUGGUAAAUAGAACCAUGAAAGUGACGAGAAAUAUCAUAAUUUUUCUAUGGGCUGAUUUUAAUGUUAAGAGUGGCAAGCUGCUGUAUGUUCUUGGGGUAAACCUGGCUCAGGUCCCCAUUGAUAGCUUUCGACCCAAUGAUGUUAGCUGCUGCUGUUUGGUAGAAAGCAUCCCAGAAUAUGUACUGGUCUCGAUUCAGGCAUGGUACUCCUCUAAAACCUAAGAAAUUUAUUACAUUUAGAACGGAUACCUUACCACUAAUGAACAAACAUGACAAACUAAGUUCAAGCUUCAGAAAGAUGUCAUCUGUAUAUGCUUAUGAAAAUGUCAUCAGAUAUCUCUGUUGGCCUUUUGGCUGAGACUAGGCACAGAAAGAUAUCAUCAACCAGCCCAGAAGGACCAUUGUAUUUUCUUUCUUUUUCCUCAACUGUGUCAGCCUCAUCUAUCAAACUAGACAAUAACCAUGAUAUUUGCAACAGUUUGGGUGAUCACAACCAAGCUCAAAACAACUCCAGUUUUGUGACAAUUAGCUUCAGAAACCAGCAAAAGUUCCAAGCUCAGAUUCCUAUAAUACUAAAACCACAAAUAUUAAAUCUCCCUGAAGCUUUAACCCCAAAACAUAACAAAAAAACAAUUUAAGCAAACAGACCAAAAAUCUUACUAAUUAGAACCACAAGAAUCCCAUGAAAAAAAACCCCUAGUUUUAGAAACUCCAAAACCCACCUACAAAUUUUAGUUUUUCUUUUCUUUUCUUUUGGGUAAAUAAGAAAACCCACCUACAAAUUUUUUCAAAUGGUUCACAAGACAAAGAGUAAACGUAAAGAAACAUAGAAACGUACGAUUGAGAUUUUUUUUUUUCCUCCUGAGCUUCUAUCCGCAGAAAAACAAGACAAGCAAGGAGAAAGAUGUAAAUUUGUCCUUAGAAGUCAUUUUAUAAAUAGGUAAAUUUAUCUAUAAAAGUUUGAAGAUAAGAUGAAUAGAAAAAUAGGACAAGUGGGUGGAAAAUAGUAGAUGACUUGGCUUGAUCAGACAUUAUCUGAGUUGCUGCUUCAUUUUAACUUGAGCAAAAUAUCCCCAAAAUGUCACUGAAUUCACCGAAAUAUCUGCCCAAAAUCUCAAUAAACUGGAUUGUUGCCAAAUGGCUGGCAUGCUGCUAGUGCUUUACAGAUGGGUAGAUAUAAGCGAUCCCUAGUGAAGGAUGACAUAAACAUCAAAUCAAAUAUCUUUAACACAGUAAUUACUUAUCUUUUAAAUCAACACUGAAUUCAUGGCCCUCUUGACAUAUAAAGUACCACUGAACACACUAAUCAUCACUCUAAUAAAAACCAAAAUAAGAGAGAAGAAAAAGGUAAAAUCUACGAGCUAGUUCCAAGUCCCAACAACUAUGACAAAUGAAGGCAAUACGUUUAAAUUAUAAAAGUUUGAUUUAUUGAAGGAAUUAUAAAGUUUUGAUUGAUAUUUGAACCUGGUUCUACUGCUAUAAUAUUCCUUCGCAUAAUUUGUUAAAGAUAAAAUAAAUUCAAAGACUUCUUUUUUUCAACUUUGAGCUAUUUCAAUUUCAACAUAUAAAAGCUUUGAUUUUCUAAUUUCCUUCUGGUGUGGUUGUUAAGAUUUGAUUUGAUUUGAUAUCAAGAAUCUUCCUUAUAAUCUUUUUCUUUAAUAAAAUAGAAUGAUAAUCUGUAUAUGACACUCAGUUUUACCAGAUAAAAGUAUAGUGUUUACAAACUGAGAAUACAUAAAUUUGAUGUGUUACAUUUUCCACAAUCAAACAAAUUAAGCAUAUAAAGUAAAAUCAAAACGGAUGGAGCCAAAUGGUAAAGUAGAUAGGAAGCACCCAAAUUUAAGGUAAUUUUGUUGAAACUUGAAACUUGAAAGUUAAGGUAGUUUUGUUGUCCCUUUAUUGAGUAUGUCAAGAGGGCCAUGAUUUGAGUGUUGAUUUAAAAGAUAAGUAAUUAUUGUGUUAACAGAUAUUUGAUUUAAAACAAGUCUUUGAAUUUAUUUUAUCUUUAACAUAUUCGGCACAUAUUUGUUUUGUAUUUUUGUUUGUUCGUCAAUAAUAUACCAUUGUCACAUCCCGGAUCAGCUCCGCCGUAGCACGAUAUUGUUCACUUUGGGUCCCCACCCUCACAAUUUUGUUUUUAGGAACUCAUGAGCAACUUCUCAGUGAGUCACAUAUCCUGGGAUUUCUCUAGCUCAAACUCGCUUAACUUCGGAGUUCCCAAGGAAUCCGAAGCCAGAGUUUCCAAAAGGCUUCGUGCUAGAUGGAGGUAAGCAUGUACAUAUAAGGCACAUCACCCCCUCUCUUUUGGUAGAUGUGGGAUGUUACAAUCCACCCCCCUUAGGGGCUCGACGUACUCGUCGGUGCACUCGCACCACACAGUAGAGUGGUUCUGAUACCAUUCUGUCACAUACCAGAUCGUCUCCGUCGUAACACGAUAUUGUUCGCUUUGGGCCCCCGCCCUCACGGUUUUGUUUCUAGAAACUCACAAGCAACUUUCCAGUGGGUCACCUAUCUUGGGAUUGCUCCAGCCCAAACUCGCUUAACUUCGAAGUUCCCAAGGAAUCCGAAGCCAGUGAGUUCCCAAAAGGCCUUGUGCUAGAUGGAGGUGGUAAUGUAUAUAUAAGGCACAUCACCCCUUCUCCGUUGGUUGAUGUGGGAUGUUACAACUAUCGCUUAUUUUCAACCAAAAAAAAAAAGCAACCGUUAGAAAUUAUUGAACCUUCCAUAUAUUUCUAGCAACAUAGAAGGUUCAACAAUUUCUAACGGUUGUUUUGUUUUGUUUUUUUUUUUUUGGGACAAUAAGCGAUAGUAUAUUAUUGAUGAACAAACAAAAGUACAAAGUAACUAUGUGUCGAAUAUGGGUAAAUCUUCUCCAGUGACCAAACAGCUAAGCAAAGGACAAAGACAUUUACUUAAAUGCUGAAAAUGGAAAUAAGGUAAUUUGUACACCUGGAAUGCACCACCACUAGUUGAGCAAAAAGGUAAUUUGAAGCACCUAUAAUGUUUUUUUCAAAGAAAUGAGCACCUCCUUGCACCUUAAUAUAGGGGUGCACAUUAUUACCAAAAACCCGAUCGAACCCGACCGGUUUUGGCUGGUUGGUCCGGUUUUUAAUUCAAAUUAUUGAAAUCGAUAGGAAAAUCUACCGAUCCGAUUGUGAACCGAUUUUGAACCGAUUUGAAUUCUUUUAAACCCGUGAAACGGGAACCAGACCGAUUUCAUUAAAUUACCUAAAAAUUUAAACAAAUACCAUGAUGGGGAAUCGUACUCUGUUUAAAGUUUAUAUACAAAGCCCAAAUACCACUGGACUGAUGUGCUUUCUUGUCUAAUGUAUGUAUAAUUGUAUUAUUUAUUACAAUCUAAAACAAAUUUUUUUUUUAAGUUAGGGUUUUCCCUGACCCACAUACUCUCCUUUUCCUUUUCUUUUUUCCCACCCCAGCUGACAUCCCUUCUUUCUUCUCUCUCUCUCCAUCUUUUUUUCUUUCCUCUUCUUCCUGCCGCUGCAUCUUCUUCUUCUUCUUCUUUCCCUCUUCUCUCCAUCUUCUUCUUCUUUCUCCCCAUACACUCAACCAGGAAGUGGUCCUCAAUCUCAGUUCAAUCCUCUGCCAUCGAUGCUCGCCGAACCAAACCAAACCUCAUUGACUUCUAGGCAUGCCGAUUGUAGUCGGUCUUAUAUCUCCUCAACGCGGUGGCGAUCUCCAAAAUAGGUGUGUCGAUGACCUCCGGUUCGGUGGUCGGCAACUCCUCCAAGACACAGUUAUUGAACUGUGAAUAGCCCUACCUUAAUAGGUCUGCCACUGAUUCCAGAAUAUGACAUACAUAUAUAUAUUAUUAUUUUUGAAAAUUUGUUAAACACAAUAAGGUGGACAAGAAGAUGCACCCUUGGUAUUUUCCUUUAUUUUUUUUAUUCACCAAGUGCAAAGUGCAAAUCCAUAACUUAUGUAAUGUUAUUAACAAAGUUAACCAAGUUUCUAGUAGAUGAACUAGAUUCACUCCAAGAAGCCAAAGCCAUCUCUCUCAUUUUCCAACUCAUUCUCUAAGCUUUCUCCCUUUUUCUGACUCCAUCAACUCCUUGACGCUUAUCUCCAAUUCAUCCCCAAACACAAACCCAUCUUUAUCUCUCUGUUCCACAACAAUCGUCAUUUCCAUGUCCUUCGCCAAAACACUCCUAUUCAAAUGUUGCUUUGCAUAGAGCGGCCAUGCCACCAUCAGCACGCUGGCAAUCACCACUUCAAGCACCCAGUUCCAGCCACAAUGCGUCACGAACCCGCCCACUGAUUCCUUCUUCAACAUCGCCACCUGCGGCGCCCAUGACUUCACCACCAAGCCCUAUCUUUGGUCCUCUCCAAGAACCCUUCUGGCAACAAACCCUCCAAAUCAAAGUCAUGAACUCCUUGGACCUGCUUGGUUUUCUCAUCAAGGGGAGGCUUCUUCACCAGCCAUAAAAACCUCUGUCCACUAUUCUCUUACCUAGCUACUAUCUCUUCAAUUGAGCCCUUGAGAAUUAUCCUCUGCUUCUAAAACAGAGAAACACCAUACUUCUACUUGGCUGCUAAUCAAGCUAUGACAAACAAUCUUCUAUCUCUGCAGAAUCCCCAGAUUAUUUUUCUUCAGCAAUCAACGACCCAAUGUAGUCGACAGGAGGAGUGAGAGCAUCAGAAACACAAAGACCUCCAUCAAUGGCUUUGAGGACUGCAUGAGGCUCGUGCUCUUCAAAUGUGUUGGCUAUGAUCCCAUUAGAUUUGGGAAGGUGGGAGCAGAAGUAGACCAUGUCCCGAU